GCACAGGGUGAUACCAGACACUCCCAUUCCCGCCCUUAUUCGCCACUCCCUUUACCCCUCAAGUAACCUGCUUCUCUCUCUCUCUCUUUUGUUAGAUUCGCUACCUUUCGACUAAAGAGGCCACAGUUUUUAGAUUUUAGAUUUUAGAUCUUAGGUCUAAGGUCUAGACCGAACCGAAAUGAAGCGCUGCUAUGCGAUUUGACUUUGCUUCGGUGCCGAUUCGGUCUAAGCUACAGCUUCGGCCUAAGCAAACGCCAUAGAUAUUUAUAUAAAACUUUUUCUUUUUUAGUUAUUAGUCAAAAAUAUAUAUAUAUAUAUUAUUUUUUAUAUAUAAAGAUCUAAUUUUUUUUAUUAAAUGAAAAAAAUCCUCCCAAAUCAAAAUCAAAAUCAAAUGGGCUUGAAAGAGCUAGCUUCAUUAUUCUCUCUCGAUUUCUGUUUUAUCUCAACGUAACGUACGUGAUUUAAUUUGUCAAAGGUACUUUGAGCGAAGAGAAGGCAACGGACGUGAGCGUGGGGAAGGGCGGGGUGCAUGUAGGCGCGACCCAAGGCAAGCCAAGCGGCGGCACCUCUGUCGAUGUGGGGAAGGGUGGGGUGCAUGUGGCUGCACCCAGCAAGCAGGGCGGUGGCGGCACCACUGUCAACGUUGGGGGCAAGGGACAAGCAGGCGUCGGAGUGAACGUGCCCGGCAAGCAGGGGAAGAAACCGGUGGUUGUCACCGUAAAACCCGGCAA
RNAcentral lists this long non-coding RNA (731 nucleotides) under Amborella trichopoda. RNAcentral describes it as "long non-coding RNA (ATRI_LNC001328)". The record is from RNAcentral. Lineage: Eukaryota; Viridiplantae; Streptophyta; Magnoliopsida; Amborellales; Amborellaceae.